GGGGAUGCAAGGCAUAGACAGUAGGCCUUUUGCUCUUGAUGCAUGCCGAGCAUGAACGUAAUCUCGUAAAAAUUCGUUCAAAUGUUAAUUGCAAAAUUAGCUUCUAAAGUGAAAUCUGCGGUCUCUCCAUACUUCGGUAUGAAUGACUUUGCUUUCGCUUCGGUUUCCGCUUCGGCGUAACCGAUGUCUCUCUUAUAGACUUCCGAUAUAUAAGGGCAGGCAUAAUAUUAUCGGGAUAGGAAAAAGAUUGUUCCGACUUUUCUCCAAAACAAAGGAACUCGAUUAAAAAAUAUUUGGCUCGCUUAAGAAUUUUUUUAUCUAAACAAAAAGCGCGCUAAGCAUGUAGACUUUUUGGUAAAAACCUUCUGCACUGGGAUUCAAUUUCCCACAUCUCCACAA
RNAcentral lists this transfer-messenger RNA (399 nucleotides) under Candidatus Nomurabacteria bacterium RIFCSPHIGHO2_01_FULL_40_12. It matches the Rfam family "transfer-messenger RNA". From Rfam's summary of the family: Bacterial tmRNA, also known as 10Sa RNA or SsrA, is named for its dual tRNA and mRNA-like properties. Its role is to liberate the mRNA from a stalled ribosome. RNAcentral also lists the same sequence under 1 other name. Lineage: Bacteria; Candidatus Nomuraibacteriota. The record is from RNAcentral.